Molecule: long non-coding RNA, 519 nt
Filed under: Ananas comosus (pineapple)
Lineage: Eukaryota; Viridiplantae; Streptophyta; Magnoliopsida; Poales; Bromeliaceae
Description: long non-coding RNA (ACOM_LNC006265)
Source: RNAcentral
GGGAUUAACCGUGCUUGCUCUCGAAUAUCAUUCAUCACCAGUUUUCAAGUAAGUUAGAGAUUGUGUGGAGCUGCUCAUAGGUUUCGCGAGAAGCAUCCGAUUAAACUGCAUUAAUUGUAAGUUAAUGCAUAACAUGUGAGGACUAACUGAAAGAGUAGUUUAUUUAGUCGUACACUGAAUUGCUAGUUAUCAACAUCUAGUAUUCUGUAUAUCGUGUUGUAGCCUCACUUACAGCAUUGAAGAAUGUAUAAUCAAGAUCCUGGCUAAUCAAAAUUCUUUGCAGUUGUAUGACUAAUAAACUCUUUAAUUUUUCAUUGUUCUAAUUGAUAGAUACAUUUGGAACACAACUUGUUUGAAGUUAAAUUUAAGUGUACUCAAACUGUACUAAUAAAGUAUAUUUUAUAUAUAUAUAUUAUUUCAACAAGUUGUUACGAUUUUUUAUUUUUGGUGGAGGGAAGUAAGUGACAUCAUUAUCAUUGUGCUUAGUUGGCCAGCCUUAUAUGCUCCUGAAAAAUAGCC